This 362-nucleotide unclassified non-coding RNA is filed under the name uncultured bacterium. Its description in RNAcentral is "contains 16S-23S intergenic spacer region". The record is from RNAcentral.
UCCCCCGUGAGGGGGCAGUCUCGCCUGACAUAGAAAACAGGCAACGAGGGUUGCGUUCGUUACCCCACUGAAGGGAACAACUCAAGCCACGAACUGACGACGACCAUGCAUCACCUGCACAAAUGUCUUGCGAGGUCCAAAGUUUCCUAAGGAUUUCAUUUGUGUUUCAAACCCUGGUGAGGUUCUUCGUUUGUCAUCGAAUUGAGCCGCAUGAUCCACCGCUUGUGCAAGUCCCCGUCUAUUCCUUUGAGUUUUAAUCUUGCGAUCGUACUACCCAGGCGCCUAACUUAACGCGUGUGCUUCGCCUCAAAGAGGGUCGAUACUCCUUAAAGCCAGUUAGGAUCGUUUAGGGCGUGGACUAC